GCCAUGAGGGCGGGAACCCUCGUACGCGGAAGUUCAUGAGGGCGGGACCCUCGUACGCGGAAGGUCAUGAGGGCGGGACCCUCGUACGCGGAAGUUCAUGCGGGCGGGACCCUCGUACGUGGAAGGUCAUGAGGGCGGGACCCUCGUACGUGGAAGGUCAUGAGGGCGGAACCCUGGUACAUGAAAUUCGUUCUCUUAUUUAAGAGACAAAGAACGCCCUUGUUUUUUCCACCACGUGAUGGCGCAGACAGAAGACAACCAGCAUCUAUGAACCAGGAAGCCCCCACCAGGCACUGAAUCUGCCCCUGCGUGGAUCUUAGACUUGCAGACUCCAGAACUAACCUUACAAUGUCUCUUCUCCAUUAAGAAAACCUACUUCAACAUCUCCAUUGGUUCUCAACAUAGAGAAUGUAGCCGUAAACAAACCUCUUUCAUGUGAACCACUCAUCUCUCAAAGUGACAUUGGCCAGCCCCGGAGAGACACUGAAGUCAUGAAUCAAAAUAAAGAAAACCUAGAAGCCAACUUUCA
This 529-nucleotide long non-coding RNA is filed under the name Homo sapiens (human). RNAcentral describes it as "HSALNT0324840". Lineage: Eukaryota; Metazoa; Chordata; Mammalia; Primates; Hominidae. The record is from RNAcentral.